RNAcentral lists this non-coding RNA (86 nucleotides) under Xenorhabdus cabanillasii. The record is from RNAcentral. Lineage: Bacteria; Pseudomonadati; Pseudomonadota; Gammaproteobacteria; Enterobacterales; Morganellaceae.
UUCAAUGACGAUUCAGGCAGGGGAGGCUUACGCCUCGCCGGAUGUUGAUGCCGGUACUGAGAAUCCUUGUUUGAAUCGUCGCCACA